AGGGGAGGAGUCUAAAGGGACCAUCCAAGUCCAUAUCCCCUUCUUCAUGAUAGUAUGUCUCAAAUAAAGGAAAGAUUAAGCCCCAGUAGAUAAGCUUAAUCUUUCCUUUAUUUGAGACAUAAUAUCAUGAAGAAAGGGAUAUGGACUUGGAUGGUCCCUUUAGACUCCUCCCC
RNAcentral lists this microRNA precursor (173 nucleotides) under Marmota monax (woodchuck). Lineage: Eukaryota; Metazoa; Chordata; Mammalia; Rodentia; Sciuridae. The record is from RNAcentral.